GAUGAACGCUGGCGGCGUGCCUAAUACAUGCAAGUCGAGCGAACGGACGAGAAGCUUGCUUCUCUGAUGUUAGCGGCGGACGGGUGAGUAACACGUGGAUAACCUACCUAUAAGACUGGGAUAACUUCGGGAGACCGGAGCUAAUACCGGAUAAUAUUUUGAACCGCAUGGUUCAAAAGUGAAAGACGGUCUUGCUGUCACUUAUAGAUGGAUCCGCGCUGCAUUAGCUAGUUGGUAAGGUAACGGCUUACCAAGGCAACGAUGCAUAGCCGACCUGAGAGGGUGAUCGGCCACACUGGAACUGAGACACGGUCCAGACUCCUACGGGAGGCAGCAGUAGGGAAUCUUCCGCAAUGGGCGAAAGCCUGACGGAGCAACGCCGCGUGAGUGAUGAAGGUCUUCGGAUCGUAAAACUCUGUUAUUAGGGAAGAACAUAUGUGUAAGUAACUGUGCACAUCUUGACGGUACCUAAUCAGAAAGCCACGGCUAGCUACGUG
Molecule: ribosomal RNA, 497 nt
Filed under: uncultured bacterium
Lineage: Bacteria
Description: partial 16S ribosomal RNA
Rfam family: Bacterial small subunit ribosomal RNA
Source: RNAcentral